This is a small nuclear RNA of Rhinopithecus bieti (black snub-nosed monkey), 98 nucleotides long. Lineage: Eukaryota; Metazoa; Chordata; Mammalia; Primates; Cercopithecidae. The record is from Ensembl.
AAAACUGAUGAUUUUUAUGAUACAUCUCAAUGAUACAGAGAUUAGCAUGGUUCCUGCACAAGGAUAAUGUGCAAAUUUGUGAAAUGCUCCAUAUUUUU